CGUCACCUCACCCACCUGGACCCCUGGAGGAGGCAUAGCUGGGAGCCUGUGGCUGUACUGACAGUGCAGCAGCAGGGGACGGAGCCCAGCGACAACCACAGUGUGAGUCUGGAGAACCUGGAGAUGGAGAAGGUUCUGGGAGCGGCACUGGGCGUCCGGCGAGUGGGGAGGAACCCCAUCACUCAGGAGGGCUCCUUGUCUUCCCUCACGGAAGAGGAGGCAGGGUCCGACCCGCAGCACUACUCCGUAUUGGAGGAACAGUCCAACCAGCUGCAGGGCUGCAGUGCGUCGGCCCCAACCCUCAGUGUGGUGCGUCGCAGCAACCCUCCCAGCACGGCCCCCCGACCACGCUCCAACUGCUACGAGACUUUACCCUACGGUCAACUUGGAGGAUCCACGCAGAGUGUGGAUAGGGACCUGGGUCUUCUGCUCUGGGGGAGAGAGGGAAGCUGGACGGAGAUCACGAGAGACCGGGCCCAGGAGGAGGUGACAGGCGGCCCUUUUGUGCGCACCUUCAGUUUCCUACGCAAGAUGGCCGGCAACCGCAAGGUAGGAGAGGCCUGCUUUCUGCAGUAGAGUAAAUCAUAUUUUAUUGACAGCGACGGGUAUGAAUGAAGGGCAGACUGAUAGAGGAGAAACGGUGUAGAAGAUUAGGAUUUCAUCCCUCGAAGACAUGGGAUUGCAUGUGCCAAAUGCGGUGGCCUUAACCGACCGACCAACCCACAGCACACGAGAUCUACGACUCAUUAUUUAUCUAAGGUCUCUUCUCAAUAGGGUAAUAUCAUUAUGACAACGACACUGUGUGGUGUUGCUGAUCAUAUUGAAUGGCGAC
This 832-nucleotide long non-coding RNA is filed under the name Salmo salar (Atlantic salmon). Its description in RNAcentral is "lncRNA (ENSSSAG00000095114.1, ENSSSAG00075019044.1)". Lineage: Eukaryota; Metazoa; Chordata; Actinopteri; Salmoniformes; Salmonidae. The record is from RNAcentral.